This 142-nucleotide ribosomal RNA is filed under the name uncultured eukaryote. RNAcentral's name for it is "partial 18S ribosomal RNA". It matches the Rfam family "Eukaryotic small subunit ribosomal RNA", at positions 1299 to 1458 of the family's 1831-position model. The record is from RNAcentral.
UGGUGGAGUGAUUUGUCUGGUUAAUUCCGAUAACGAACGAGACUCUACUCUGCUAAAUAGUACACUGAUAAUAAGCAGAGUUGGUGCAGACUUCUUAGAGAGAUUCAUGUCUUCCAGACGUAUGAGAGAGAGAGCAAUAACA